GAUGAACGCUGGCGGCGUGCCUAAUACAUGCAAGUCGAGCGAACAGACGAGGAGCUUGCUCCUCUGACGUUAGCGGCGGACGGGUGAGUAACACGUGGAUAACCUACCUAUAAGACUGGGAUAACUUCGGGAAACCGGAGCUAAUACCGGAUAAUAUAUUGAACCGCAUGGUUCAAUAGUGAAAGACGGUUUUGCUGUCACUUAUAGAUGGAUCCGCGCCGCAUUAGCUAGUUGGUAAGGUAACGGCUUACCAAGGCAACGAUGCGUAGCCGACCUGAGAGGGAGGGAGGGCAGACGGGACUAGCGAAACGGUACAGACACCAACGGGAGGCAGCAGUAGGGAGUGUUUUUGAAUGGGCGAAAGCCUGAAAGAGCAAGUCAUAGGGAAUAAUGAAAGUCUUCGGAUAGUAAAACUUUGUUAUUAGGGAAGAACAAAAGUGUAAGUAAAAAUGCACGUCUUGACGGGGCCUAAUCAGAAAACCACGGCUAACUACGU
RNAcentral lists this ribosomal RNA (496 nucleotides) under uncultured bacterium. RNAcentral describes it as "partial 16S ribosomal RNA". It matches the Rfam family "Bacterial small subunit ribosomal RNA", at positions 28 to 506 of the family's 1533-position model. The record is from RNAcentral.